CGGAACACGUACAGAACCUUCCUUCGAGCGGGGAAUAGCCCGAAGAAAUUCGGAUUAAUACCCCAUAGUAUUAUGAAGUGGCAUCACUUUAUAAUUAAAGAUUUAUCACUUGAAGAUGGCUGUGCGCCUGAUUAGGUAGUUGGCGGAGUAAUAGCCCACCAAGCCUUCGAUCAGUAACUGGUGUGAGAGCACGACCAGUCACACGGGCACUGAGACACGGGCCCG
RNAcentral lists this ribosomal RNA (225 nucleotides) under uncultured bacterium. RNAcentral describes it as "partial 16S ribosomal RNA". It matches the Rfam family "Bacterial small subunit ribosomal RNA", at positions 109 to 334 of the family's 1533-position model. The record is from RNAcentral.